RNAcentral lists this unclassified non-coding RNA (245 nucleotides) under Massarinaceae sp. Its description in RNAcentral is "partial contains 5.8S ribosomal RNA, internal transcribed spacer 2, and large subunit ribosomal RNA". Lineage: Eukaryota; Fungi; Ascomycota; Dothideomycetes; Pleosporales; Massarinaceae. The record is from RNAcentral.
CGCACAUUGCGCCCCUCGGUAUUCCGUGGGGCAUGCCUGUUCGAGCGUCAUUUACACCCUCAAGCUCUGCUUGGUGUUGGGCGUCUGUCCCGCUUUAUGCAUGGACUCGCCCCAAAGUCAUUGGCAGCGGUCGUGCCAGCUUCUCGCGCAGCACAUUUGCGUUUCUUGAAGUUUGGUGGAUCAGCAUCCAGUAAGCUCUUUUAUGACUUGACCUCGGAUCAGGUAGGGAUACCCGCUGAACUUAA